CGGGCUUGAACUGCACAGGAAUGAUACAGAGAUGUUGAAGCCCUUCGGGGCCUGUGUGGAGGUGCUGCAUGGUUGUCGUCAGCUCGUGCCGUGAGGUGUCGGCUUAAGUGCCAUAACGAGCGCAACCCUUGUCUUCAGUUGCCAUCAGGUAGAGCUGGGCACUCUGGAGAUACUGCCACCGUAAGGUGUGAGGAAGGUGGGGAUGACGUCAAAUCAGCACGGCCCUUACGUCCGGGGCUACACACGUGUUACAAUGGCGUGUACAGAGGGCAGGUCUCAGGCGACUGAGGUCGAAUCCUAAAAGCACGUCCCAGUUCGGAUAGGAGUCUGCAACCCGACUCCUUGAAGCUGGAUUCGCUAGUAAUCGCGCAUCAGCCAUGGCGCGGUGAAUACGUUCCCGGGCC
This 404-nucleotide ribosomal RNA is filed under the name uncultured bacterium. Its description in RNAcentral is "bacterial SSU rRNA". It matches the Rfam family "Bacterial small subunit ribosomal RNA", at positions 976 to 1380 of the family's 1533-position model. The record is from RNAcentral.